CUGGGAGAAACUCCGCUAAGCAGGUGAGGAUCUGAUCCGUCCUGUGGAUGGAAACCACUUGGAACCCCAGGAUUGGCCCCCCUUAUUAAGACUGAUUGUUUCAGAUUGAAGUGGAAGACCCAAAUUAUUGACAAAUUGGCUCAUUGUGGUUUCUCUCAGGAUGAGAUGAUCAAAAUGGGAUAUGAUCGAGCCAGGAUUGAGAUCAAACAACAUAUCAUGGACAUGGAACUGCAGGAAGAAGUUGAUUCCUUGCCUAAGAAUGUCUUUUUGGGGGAUCAAAUGUUUAACAUUCAACCAGCUAGCUUUUUGAGUCUAAUUACCAUUCCUAAAUUUAGACGUGCUUUGACGCUCGCCUGUCUAAAUGCACUUCCAUCUGCUGUUAUGGAGGGAAGAUUUAAAGGUACCCCUUUCUCUACUCGACUUUGCCCUUGCGGGUCUGGUCAAGUGGAGACAAGUGCGCAUGCCAUUUUAUAAUGUCAUUUCUAUAGGGACGCCCGCUUAAGAUUAGUGUCCCCUUUGCUGCAACGUUUCCCUGGGCAUUUGGAUGACUUCUAUUUGAAGUAUUUACUGUCCAGUCUUGAUGACGACCUAAUUUGCAAAAUGGCAAGGUACUGUUAUAUCAUUUGCAACAUCCGCUUAGGUUUUCAUUAAUGUUUUGCCUUCUGUUUUCCGUGAUUCCUGUUUUAUGAUUGUAAUGGUGGGUGCUCUGCUCUCUUGGGCUUUCAGUAAGAUCUAUCUGGAGUUCACCACAACUGUCUUAAUUUUAACCUGUCAAUAUUACAAUCUGUUUGAUUUAUUAUGCUGAGUUUUUUGUAAGUAUGUAUGUUUUACUAAGUAUUGGUCUAUGACCGCAAUAAAGGAUGACUGACUGAC
This is a long non-coding RNA of Hemicordylus capensis (graceful crag lizard), 873 nucleotides long. RefSeq lists it as uncharacterized. NCBI's taxonomy places the organism in Eukaryota, Metazoa, Chordata, Lepidosauria, Squamata, Cordylidae. The record is from RefSeq and is a predicted model, not a curated record. The transcript has 2 exons.